RNAcentral lists this ribosomal RNA (229 nucleotides) under uncultured bacterium. RNAcentral's name for it is "partial 16S ribosomal RNA". It matches the Rfam family "Bacterial small subunit ribosomal RNA", at positions 103 to 334 of the family's 1533-position model. The record is from RNAcentral.
CGGGUGAGUAAUGUAUGGGGAUCUGCCUGAUGGCGGGGGAUAACUACUGGAAACGGUAGCUAAUACCGCAUAAUGUCUGCGGACCAAAGAAGGGGGACCUCCGGGCCUCGCGCCAUCAGAUGAACCCAUAUGGGAUUAGCUAGUAGGUAAGGUAACGGCUUACCUAGGCGACGAUCCCUAGCUGGUCUGAGAGGAUGAUCAGCCACACUGGGACUGAGACACGGCCCAG